This 43-nucleotide non-coding RNA is filed under the name Trichobilharzia regenti. Lineage: Eukaryota; Metazoa; Platyhelminthes; Trematoda; Strigeidida; Schistosomatidae. The record is from RNAcentral.
CUUCUGAAGAGUCCCAAACUAGGACGAAACAACUGUCUGGAAG